RNAcentral lists this ribosomal RNA (468 nucleotides) under uncultured bacterium. Its description in RNAcentral is "partial 16S ribosomal RNA". It matches the Rfam family "Bacterial small subunit ribosomal RNA", at positions 28 to 507 of the family's 1533-position model. The record is from RNAcentral.
GACGAACGCUGGCGGCGUGCUUAACACAUGCAAGUCGAACGGAAAGGCCCUGCUUUUGUGGGGUGCUCGAGUGGCGAACGGGUGGGUAACACGUGAGUAACCUGCCCUUGACUUUGGGAUAACUUCAGGAAACUGGGGCUAAUACCGGAUAGGAGCUCCUGCUGCAUGGUGGGGGUUGGAAAGUUUCGGCGGUUGGGGAUGGACUCGCGGCUUAUCAGCUUGUUGGUGGGGUAGUGGCUUACCAAGGCUUUGACGGGUAGCCGGCCUGAGAGGGUGACCGGCCACAUUGGGACUGAGAUACGGCCCAGACUCCUACGGGAGGCAGCAGUGGAGAAUAUUGCACAAUGGGCGGAAGCCUGAUGCGGCAACGCCGCGUGCGGGAUGACGGCCUUCGGGUUGUAAACCGCUUUCGCCUGUGACGAAGCGUGAGUGACGGUAAUGGGUAAAGAAGCACCGGCUAACUACGUG